GACGAACGCUGGUGGCGUGCUUAACACAUGCAAGUCGAACGGAAAGGCCCUGCUUUUGUGGGGUGCUCGAGUGGCGAACGGGUGAGUAACACGUGAGUAACCUGCCCUUGACUUUGGGAUAACUUCAGGAAACUGGGGCUAAUACCGGAUAGGAGCUCCUGCUGCAUGGUGGGGGUUGGAAAGUUUCGGCGGUUGGGGAUGGACUCGCGGCUUAUCAGCUUGUUGGUGGGGUAGUGGCUUACCAAGGCUUUGACGGGUAGCCGGCCUGAGAGGGUGACCGGCCACAUUGGGACUGAGAUACGGCCCAGACUCCUACGGGAGGCAGCAGUGGGGAAUAUUGCACAAUGGGCGGAAGCCUGAUGCAGCAACGCCGCGUGCGGGAUGACGGCCUUCGGGUUGUAAACCGCUUUCGCCUGUGACGAAGCGUGAGUGACGGUAAUGGGUAAAGAAGCACCGGCUAACUACGUGCCAGCAGCCGCGGUGAUACGUAGGGUGCGAGCGUUGUCCGGAUUUAUUGGGCGUAAAGGGCUCGUAGGUGGUUGAUCGCGUCGGAAGUGUAAUCUUGGGGCUUAACCCUGAGCGUGCUUUCGAUACGGGUUGACUUGAGGAAGGUAGGGGAGAAUGGAAUUCCUGGUGGAGCGGUGGAAUGCGCAGAUAUCAGGAGGAACACCAGUGGCGAAGGCGGUUCUCUGGGCCUUUCCUGACGCUGAGGAGCGAAAGCGUGGGGAGCGAACAGGCUUAGAUACCCUGGUAGUCCACGCUGUAAACGGUGGGUACUAGGUGUGGGGUCCAUUCCACGGGUUCCGUGCCGUAGCUAACGCUUUAAGUACCCCGCCUGGGGAGUACGGCCGCAAGGCUAAAACUCAAAGGAAUUGACGGGGCCCCGCACAAGCGGCGGAGCAUGCGGAUUAAUUCGAUGCAACGCGUAGAACCUUACCUGGGUUUGACAUGGAUCGGGAGCGCUCAGAGAUGGGUGUGCCUCUUUUGGGGUCGGUUCACAGGUGGUGCAUGGCUGUCGUCAGCUCGUGUCGUGAGAUGUUGGGUUAAGUCCCGCAACGAGCGCAACCCUUGUUCACUGUUGCCAGCACGUUAUGGUGGGGACUCAGUGGAGACCGCCGGGGUCAACUCGGAGGAAGGUGGGGAUGACGUCAAGUCAUCAUGCCCCUUACGUCCAGGGCUUCACGCAUGCUACAAUGGCUGGUACAGAGAGUGGCGAGCCUGUGAGGGUGAGCGAAUCUCGGAAAGCCGGUCUCAGUUCGGAUUGGGGUCUGCAACUCGACCUCAUGAAGUCGGAGUCGCUAGUAAUCGCAGAUCAGCAACGCUGCGGUGAAUACGUUCCCGGG
This 1343-nucleotide ribosomal RNA is filed under the name uncultured bacterium. RNAcentral's name for it is "16S ribosomal RNA". It matches the Rfam family "Bacterial small subunit ribosomal RNA", at positions 28 to 1378 of the family's 1533-position model. The record is from RNAcentral.